RNAcentral lists this ribosomal RNA (253 nucleotides) under uncultured bacterium. Its description in RNAcentral is "partial 16S ribosomal RNA". It matches the Rfam family "Bacterial small subunit ribosomal RNA", at positions 524 to 776 of the family's 1533-position model. The record is from RNAcentral.
UACGAAGGGUGCAACCGUUGCUCGGAAUUAUUGGGCGUAAAGCGCACGUAGGCGGCUUAGCAAGUCGGAAGUGAAAUCCCUCGGCUCAACCAAGGAAGUGCUUUCGAAACUGCUGAGCUUGAGUACGAAAGAGGAUCGCGGAAUUCCCGGUGUAGAGGUGAAAUUCGUAGAUAUCGGGAGGAACACCAGUGGCGAAGGCGGCGAUCUGGGUCGAUACUGACGCUGAGGUGCGAAAGCGUGGGGAGCAAACAGG